This 497-nucleotide ribosomal RNA is filed under the name uncultured bacterium. RNAcentral's name for it is "partial 16S ribosomal RNA". It matches the Rfam family "Bacterial small subunit ribosomal RNA", at positions 28 to 507 of the family's 1533-position model. The record is from RNAcentral.
GAUGAACGCUGGCGGCGUGCCUAAUACAUGCCAGUCGAGCGAACGGACGAGAAGCUUGCUUCUCUGAUGUUAGCGGCGGACGGGUGAGUAACACGUGGAUAACCUACCUAUAAGACUGGGAUAACUUCGGGAAACCGGAGCUAAUACCGGAUAAUAUUUUGAACCGCAUGGUUCAAAAGUGAAAGACGGUCUUGCUGUCACUUAUAGAUGGAUCCGCGCUGCAUUAGCUAGUUGGUAGGGUAACGGCUUACCAAGGCAACGAUGCAUAGCCGACCUGAGAGGGUGAUCGGCCACACUGGAACUGAGACACGGUCCAGACUCCUACGGGAGGCAGCAGUAGGGAAUCUUCCGCAAUGGGCGAAAGCCUGACGGAGCAACGCCGCGUGAGUGAUGAAGGACUUCGGAUCGUAAAACUCUGUUAUUAGGGAAGAACAUAUGUGUAAGUAACUGUGCACAUCUUGACGGUACCUAAUCAGAAAGCCACGGCUAACUACGUG